AGAGAGAGACAUGCGCGCAUAUCAAUAAGCGGAGGAAAAGAAACUAACAAGGAUUCCCUUAGUAACGGCGAGUGAAGCGGGAAGAGCUCAAAUUUGAAAUCUUCAAGGUUCUACCUUGACGAAUUGUAGUUUAUAGAAGUGUUUUCUGUUAGUGGAGUGGCAAAAGUUCUUUGGAAUAGGACAUCAUAGAGGGUGAGAAUCCCGUAUUUGGUCAUUCCUCCUAGCGUUGUGAUACACUUUCAACGAGUCGGAUUGUUUGGGAAUGCAGUCCAAAAUGGGUGGUAAAUUUCAUCUAAAGCUAAAUAUUGGCGAGAGACCGAUAGCGAACAAGUACCGUGAGGGAAAGAUGUAAAAGAACUUUGAAAAGAGAGUUAAACAGUACGUGAAAUUGUCAAAAGGGAAGCGUUUGACACCAGUGUUGUUUUUCCGAAAAUCAAUUACGAAUGUUUUAGUUUUUGAGGAGUUAUGACUUCAUCGGCUUGCUCCUUUCUUUAUGAAACUUUCUUAAUGCACUUUUCGGUUAACAAGUCAACAUCAAUUUCUUUUGUUGUAAAAGGGUAUGAGGAAGGCUGGCUUUCUUUUCGGAGAAAGUGUUUAUAGCCUUGUGCCUCUGCAAUCGGAGAGAUUGAGGUCUGCAGCGUAGAUCCUUCGGGGUUAGAUACAUUUGUGCUAAGCUAUAGCCUUGUAUAGACAACUUGUUGACUAUGCUCUAGUCUAUUGUAGCUUACUCGCUUAUGCUAUUUUACCUACGCUUAGGAUGUUGAUAGUCACAGCGUGUAC
RNAcentral lists this ribosomal RNA (780 nucleotides) under uncultured Neocallimastigales. RNAcentral describes it as "partial large subunit ribosomal RNA". It matches the Rfam family "Eukaryotic large subunit ribosomal RNA", at positions 23 to 644 of the family's 3401-position model. Lineage: Eukaryota; Fungi; Neocallimastigomycota; Neocallimastigomycetes; Neocallimastigales. The record is from RNAcentral.